Long non-coding RNA from Gasterosteus aculeatus aculeatus (three-spined stickleback), 1156 nucleotides. The record is from Ensembl. NCBI's taxonomy places the organism in Eukaryota, Metazoa, Chordata, Actinopteri, Perciformes, Gasterosteidae.
GUAAUGUACAUUUUUACAGAAAGAUUGGAAUGAUACCGAUUUGGGGCAAGUAAUACCUGAUGUCAGAUAUAUAACACUAAAAUCACACUGUUUGCUCAUUUAAACCAGCGUGCUGAAGCAAUAUUUAAAGCAUGUAAUUAUAGUGACUGAUAAUUAAGUAAAAUGUGUUUUUUGAGGAUGUGAUGAGAAAUGAGAUUAUUUUACAUGUGGUUUAAGAUCUCAGGCUGUUGUCAGCCGUGUAAUUGAAGGUUAUUGACAAGUUGUUCUAUCGCAAUUUAUUCUAUAGAUUCUGAAUAUAAUGCAAAUCUUGAGAAAUGAGACAAUCUAUUCUAAUGGUCCUUAUUAGCUGGAGGGUACAGAAGAAUUGUCAUCUGAAGGAAAGAACAAUACUAAUGAGUUGUCACUGUCUUGGGAUUUGCCUCAAGUCACAUGUGAGAACAGAAGAUGCUGCUGGACAAGCUGAUGCUCCACGCAGUGAGUAUUCUCAUCUGUACUUUAACAGAUCAUUUCAACCAGACAGACAAAUGAGCGUUGAAGUUCACACUCACAAUGUUCACAUUGUGUCUUUUUUGUGCUUCACACAGAUGUUGAUGAGUUGAUUGUUUCGCGCUAGUUCAGUAGUUAAAGAUUAGUAAGGCGGCUUUCCUUUUCGUAAUGCAAAUGCUUUGCAGGUACUUGGAAGAAGCUCAAGACGGGUUAAACAGUUACGAAGGGGCUUAAAAGAGACGCUGAUCUGGCCUUUGCUAACUGAGAGGAAAGACACAAUUCCCCUCCUCUUUCCAAGAGCAUGUGAUGUACAGCGCACACCACAGAGACCUCCUUCCACCAUUUAGGAGCAGGACAGCAAAGAGUGGAGAUCUAGUCGAGUGUUUUGCUCUCAGUGAGGAGGAACAAGCAGUUUAUCACAUGCAGAGCGGAGAGUGCGGGUCGGGAUGUCGGGUUGGACCAGGUCCUGGAUGUAAGCUGGACCCCAUCCAUUCACAGCACGCAUCUGUCAGCAUCCUUGGGAAACUCCUACAGUUGUGGAUAGGAUGGAAUGUGCUCCCCAGACACCAGCUGGAUAUCAGCGUGGUGGAGAGCAACUUCUCCACUUCCUCCACCUGCUUCCACCAGCUGAAGCUUCCAGUACAAAGACUACUGCCACUCUGAAAUGGAC